CAACAUCUAGAAUUCUUUACCAGUUUAUAUUGCAAACGCUAACAAGACCGUUUCGUCCCUUCGGGGACAUCCGAUAAAAUUGGAACGAUACAGAGAAGAUUAGCAUGGCCCCUGCGCAAGGAUGACACGCACAAAUCGAGAAAUGGUCCAAAUUUUUUUGAAACUUCAAUCCUCGAGUGCGGUUUUGUGGAGAAAUUAUCCUUUUUUUUUUUUUGGAAAAUUUGCAGUUUUAUCUAUAUAUUAUUGAGGAUUUCGAUGAGCAGCACUGAUGGAAUAUCUGGAUGUCAAUUUGAUGAGGUUUUUGUCAAAAAAAAUCGUCUAUAUUGUAGGGUUUCAGUCAGAAAUAUUUGAAGCUAUGUUUAUUGUUAAGGUUUCUGCCGCGGAAAGAGGUUUUUUUUAUUUUUUUUUUGCAGUUUCAUCGAAAUUGUUGAGGAAUUUGUCAAAUGCUUUAGGUGAACGUUCUGGAUAUCGAAAUUCAGGUGGCCAUCUUAAGAGAGAUGAAUUAAUUUGGGAUUUUGAAAGACAUAAUUGAGUUGGAUUAAGGAGGUGGCAAAGAUGUGUUGAUUGAAUCAUUGAAUGCAAUAGGGUGUUAAAAGGCAAGGGGUUAAAGCAGGACGAUAAGCCAUUUGCCUUUGCAUUUCAAAUGGAGCUAAUACUUUAGAUGGACAAUCCCAGUGAUAAAGACUGGCAUGUUUUUAUGAAAAUCGUUCAGAGAGAUCAAUUUGAUGAUGAAAAGACUAGUCAGCUGAUAUAUACGAUGCAGCACACUAUGUCAAACCGAGAAUAUAGAGAAGGACAAGAGGAGAGACGAAGAUGAAGAAACAAAGAGAAUUUGAGAGGAGAAUGGGGAAGAACUAGAGGAGAAAAUUUCAGGAUGUUGUAUUUAAUAUUCAAUCAUGCAUUUUACAAUGAACUCGAUUACUUAGCCAUAGUUUGAUGGCCAUUAUUUGGCAAAAACUCUGUUUUAAAUUGUAAGUUUUUAGAGAAUGCGUGUUUAAAAAGUAGGAAAAAUUUUUGGGUUUAUAUGCAAAAUAUUUUAUUGUGUGAA
Long non-coding RNA from Olea europaea var. sylvestris, 1048 nucleotides. RefSeq lists it as uncharacterized. Lineage: Eukaryota; Viridiplantae; Streptophyta; Magnoliopsida; Lamiales; Oleaceae. The transcript is spliced from 2 exons. The record is from RefSeq and is a predicted model, not a curated record.